GUAGAUACUUUGUGCUGUUUCAGAGAGUCUUGGAGCAUUCAACAUACCUGCAUUUGGCCAAAAGGAUGUGCUAUGGGAAAUCUGCAUGUUUCUGAAGUGGCAGCUGGAGAUCAGAUACAAUAUUCUAGGAUUCCUACAGAAAUACAUGUAAUGGGUUGCAACGGAAUCCCAUUCCUGGGUGAGCUUUGGACAGCUAUGGAAUUAAGGAAGCAUCUAGAGGCUGACUACUCAGCUCUGCACUAUUUGGACAGUCAAAUCUUUGCUAUGCUUAUGGAAAGGACCUUACAUGAGAAAGACUCCUGUGUUCCUGGUGUUUGGGUGUCAUUUUGAAAUAAAAGUGAGAGUAAUCAUUUUCUUGGUAAUCCUACCUGGGACCCUGCAUGGACCUGGGACCCUAUGCCCAAAUGGAUCCUAUGCUGCAACUUCUUGGAUGGAACAAAAACUUCCUGCUAAUUGACACAUCACCUUGCUCCAGUCUGCUGACCAUUCCAGGUAAGUCAGACACUUUUGUUGUGCAGUGUGUUUCUUGUUUUCUAAAUUACCAGUGAAAGUCUUGCUAAAUUAAAGCAAACGUGUGUUGCCUUACCCCGUGCUUCAGACUGAUGCAUAUUAAAGUGAACAUUGCUACUAAAUACUCAGAAAAAGUCAUUGCACUUAGUACCUUGAGUUAUGCAUAUGACCAUAAAAGUGAGAUUACACCACUUGUGAUUUGUAAUGUACAGUGUCACAGGCUGGCUUUCAGAACUGAAUGCACAGUUCAAGCACUCGCUUUCCAAAUGGAAGUCUAAUUGUUCUAUUAAAAUAUCAGUCCUCAAGUUUAUGGUUUAAUUCAAAUCUUUAAGAAGACCUUCCUCCCUUGAGGUUGUUUGUUUGGAGAAAUAUUUAGCUGUAUCUUAUUUAAGAGAUGCAAAUGUUUCAUAAAACCUUUCUGAAGCUUUUUCUGAAGCCUAAAAGUGUUUUGUUUUGCCAGCUGUCUUUGAAAGUUCAG
RNAcentral lists this long non-coding RNA (988 nucleotides) under Manacus vitellinus (golden-collared manakin). RNAcentral's name for it is "lncRNA (ENSMVIG00005013860.1)". Lineage: Eukaryota; Metazoa; Chordata; Aves; Passeriformes; Pipridae. The record is from RNAcentral.